GAGAGUCAGCACAGAGCUGGAUGUCAGUUAAAGUAACUGGACGCAGUUCAUCUCCUGUGUGGUUGAUGGUUGGACUGGUUUGUGGAGUCUCUCUCAUUAUUAUUCUCCUGCUCUUGUUGUAUCGCUGCAGACAGUCCAAGUAUUCCUGCUUCACCAGGUCGAUCCAGUCUGAGAGUCACAGUCCGGGCUCCUCCACAAAUCAUGGAGUCAACCAG
Molecule: long non-coding RNA, 215 nt
Organism: Oreochromis aureus
Lineage: Eukaryota; Metazoa; Chordata; Actinopteri; Cichliformes; Cichlidae
Exons: 4
Source: RefSeq, a predicted model, not a curated record